RNAcentral lists this ribosomal RNA (599 nucleotides) under cyanobacterium SCGC AAA206-E18. Its description in RNAcentral is "bacterial SSU rRNA". It matches the Rfam family "Bacterial small subunit ribosomal RNA", at positions 158 to 790 of the family's 1533-position model. Lineage: Bacteria; Bacillati; Cyanobacteriota. The record is from RNAcentral.
GACCGCUAAUACCCCAUAUGCCGAGAGGUGAAACGAAAUUCGCCUGAGGAUGAGCCCGCGUCUGAUUAGCUAGUUGGUGGGGUAAAGGCCUACCAAGGCAUCGAUCAGUAGCUGGUCUGAGAGGAUGAUCAGCCACACUGGGANUGAGACACGGCCCAGACUCCUACGGGAGGCAGCAGUGGGGAAUUUUCCGCAAUGGGCGCAAGCCUGACGGAGCAACGCCGCGUGAGGGAUGAAGGCCUCUGGGCUGUAAACCUCUUUUCUCAAGGAAGAAGAUCUGACGGUACUUGAGGAAUAAGCCACGGCUAAUUCCGUGCCAGCAGCCGCGGUAAUACGGGAGUGGCAAGCGUUAUCCGGAAUUAUUGGGCGUAAAGCGUCCGCAGGCGGCCUUGAAAGUCUGUCGUUAAAGCGUGGAGCUUAACUCCAUUUCGGCGGUGGAAACUACAAGGCUUGAGUGUGGUAGGGGCAGAGGGAAUUCCCGGUGUAGCGNUGAAAUGCGUAGAUAUCGGGAAGAACACCAGUGGCGAAGGCGCUCUGCUGGGCCAUAACUGACGCUCAUGGACGAAAGCUAGGGGAGCGAAAGGGAUUAGAUACCCCUG